Molecule: ribosomal RNA, 253 nt
Filed under: uncultured bacterium
Lineage: Bacteria
Description: partial 16S ribosomal RNA
Rfam family: Bacterial small subunit ribosomal RNA
Source: RNAcentral
UACGUAGGGGGCUAGCGUUGUCCGGAAUUAUUGGGCGUAAAGAGCUCGUAGGCGGUUUGUUGCGUCUAUCGUGAAAACCUGCGGCUUAACUGUGGGCUUGCGGUGGAUACGGGCAGACUUGAGUUCGGUAGGGGAGACUGGAAUUCCUGGUGUAGCGGUGAAAUGCGCAGAUAUCAGGAGGAACACCGGUGGCGAAGGCGGGUCUCUGGGCCGAUACUGACGCUGAGGAGCGAAAGCGUGGGGAGCGAACAGG